GCGCGUAAAUUGCCCGAAUCCUGACACAGGGAGGUAGUGACAAGAAAUAACAAUACAGGGCUAUUUUAGUCUUGUAAUUGGAAUGAGUACAAUUUACAUCUCUUCACGAGGAUCAAUUGGAGGGCAAGUCUGGUGCCAGCAGCCGCGGUAAUUCCAGCUCCAAUAGCGUAUAUUAAAGUUGUUGCAGUUAAAACGCUCGUAGUCGGAUUUCGGGGCGUGCCCGCCGGUCUGCCGAUGGGUAUGCACUGGCGGGNGCGUCCUUCCUUCCGGAGACUGGUCCUACUCUUAACUGAGCGGGGUCGGGAGUCGGAUCGUUUACUUUGAAAAAAUCAGAGUGUUUCAAGCAGGCAGCUCGCUCUUGCAUGGAUUAGCAUGGGAUAAUGAAAUAGGACUUUGGUGCUAUUUUGUUGGUUUCGAACACCGAAGUAAUGAUUAACAGGGACAGUCAGGGGCACUCGUAUUCCGCCGAGAGAGGUGAAAUUCUCAGACCAGCGGAAGACGAACCACUGCGAAAGCAUUUGCCAGGGAUGUUUUCACUGAUCAAGAACGAAAGUUAGGGGAUCGAAGACGAUCAGAUACCGUCGUAGUCUUAACCAUAAACCAUGCCGACUAGGGAUCGGCGGAAGUCCUUUUUGACUCCGUCGGCACCUUAUGGGAAACUAUAGUCUUUGGGUUCCGGGGGGAGUAUGGUCGCAAGGCUGAAACUUAAAGGAAUUGACGGAAGGGCACCACCAGGAGUGGAGCCUGCGGCUUAAUUUGACUCAACACGGGGAAACUUACCAGGUCCAGACAUUGUGAGGAUUGACAGAUUGAGAGCUCUUUCUUGAUUCGAUGGGUGGUGGUGCAUGGCCGUUCUUAGUUGGUGGAGUGAUUUGUCWGGUUAAUUCCGUUAACGAACGAGACCUUAGCCUAUUAAAUAGUGGCGCGAACACCUUGUUGGCGGUUCACUUCUUAGAGGGACAACUUGUCUUCAACAAGUGGAAGU
This 985-nucleotide ribosomal RNA is filed under the name Prymnesium polylepis. RNAcentral describes it as "SSU rRNA". It matches the Rfam family "Eukaryotic small subunit ribosomal RNA", at positions 434 to 1463 of the family's 1831-position model. The record is from RNAcentral. Lineage: Eukaryota; Haptophyta; Prymnesiales; Prymnesiaceae.